AUGAAGACCAUUCUCAUCCUUGCCCUCCUUACUAUCGUGGCGACCACCGCCACAACUGCAGUUAGAGUCCAAGUUCCACAAUUGGCAGCAACAACCAUUUCCACCACAACAGCCAUAUCCGCGGCCGCAACCAUUUUCAUCACAACAACCAUAUCUGCAGCUGCAACCAUUUCCGCAGCCGCAACUACCAUAUCCGCAGCCGCAACCAUUUCGACCACAACAACCAUAUCCACAACCGCAACCACAGUAUUAGCAACCACAACAACCAAUUUCGCAGCUGCAGCAGCAACAACAACAACAAUAGCAACAACAACAGCAACAAAAACAGCAGCAACAACAACAGCAGCAGCAACAACAACAACAACAGCAACAACACCAGCAACAACAGCACCAACAGCACUGUGGCAGAUUCCCGAGCAGUCGCGGUGCCAAGCCAUCCACAAUGUUGUUCAUGCUAUUAUUCUGCAUCAACAACAACAACAACCGUCGAGCCAGGUCUCCUUCCAACAGCCUCAACAACAAUAUCCAUCAGGCCAAGGCUCCUUCCAGCCAUCUCUGCAAAACCCACAGGCCCAUGGCUCUGUCCAGCCUCAACAACUGCCCCAGUUUGAGGAAAUAAGGAACCUAGCGCUACAGACGCUACCUGCAAUGUGCAAUGUCUACAUCCCUCCAUAUUGCACCAUUGCUCCAUUUGGCAUCUUCGGUACUAACUGA
This 714-nucleotide ribosomal RNA is filed under the name Triticum aestivum (bread wheat). RNAcentral's name for it is "partial small subunit ribosomal RNA". The record is from RNAcentral. Lineage: Eukaryota; Viridiplantae; Streptophyta; Magnoliopsida; Poales; Poaceae.